AGUGAACGCUGGCGGUAGGCCUAACACAUGCAAGUCGAACGGCAGCACAGUAAGAGCUUGCUCUUACGGGUGGCGAGUGGCGGACGGGUGAGGAAUACAUCGGAAUCUACUUUUUCGUGGGGGAUAACGUAGGGAAACUUACGCUAAUACCGCAUACGACCUACGGGUGAAAGCAGGGGAUCUUCGGACCUUGCGCGAUUGAAUGAGCCGAUGUCGGAUUAGCUAGUUGGCGGGGUAAAGGCCCACCAAGGCGACGAUCCGUAGCUGGUCUGAGAGGAUGAUCAGCCACACUGGAACUGAGACACGGUCCAGACUCCUACGGGAGGCAGCAGUCGGGAAUAUUGGACAAUGGGCGCAAGCCUGAACCAGCCAUACCGCGUGGGUGAAGAAGGCCUUCGGGUUGUAAAGCCCUUUUGUUGGGAAAGAAAAGCAGCAGGUUAAUACCCCGCUGUUCUGACGGUACCCAAAGAAUAAGCACCGGCUAACUUCGUG
This 492-nucleotide ribosomal RNA is filed under the name uncultured bacterium. RNAcentral describes it as "partial 16S ribosomal RNA". It matches the Rfam family "Bacterial small subunit ribosomal RNA", at positions 29 to 507 of the family's 1533-position model. The record is from RNAcentral.